This 75-nucleotide transfer RNA is filed under the name Clostridia bacterium. RNAcentral describes it as "tRNA-Arg". It matches the Rfam family "tRNA". From Rfam's summary of the family: Transfer RNA (tRNA) molecules are approximately 80 nucleotides in length. Lineage: Bacteria; Bacillati; Bacillota; Clostridia. The record is from RNAcentral.
GUCCCCGUAGUUUAAUGGAUAGAACAGACCCCUCCUAAGGGUCAAAUGAGGGUUCGAUUCCCGCCGGGGACACCA